UGACCCGUCUUGAAACACGGACCAAGGAGUCUAGCGUGUGCGCGAGUCAUUGGGUGAAAAACCUAAAGGCGCAAUGAAAGUAUCAGGGGGGCCUUCUACGGAAGUGCCCCCUGUAGGGAGGAUGGGCCACCGGUUUUUUAACCGGAGCCCCGCACUCCCGGGGCGUCUCGUUCUCAUUGCGAGUUGAGACGCACCAGGAGCGCACACGCUGGUACCCGAAAGAUGGUGAACUAUGCCUGGCCAGGACGAAGCCAGGGGAAACCCUGGUGGAGGUCCGAAGCGAUUCUGACGUGCAAAUCGAUCGUCUGAGCUGGGUAUAGGGGCGAAAGACCAAUCGAACCAUCUAGUAGCUGGUUCCCUCUGAAGUUUCCCUCAGGAUAGCA
RNAcentral lists this ribosomal RNA (383 nucleotides) under Termitaradus australiensis. RNAcentral's name for it is "eukaryotic LSU rRNA". It matches the Rfam family "Eukaryotic large subunit ribosomal RNA", at positions 645 to 983 of the family's 3401-position model. Lineage: Eukaryota; Metazoa; Arthropoda; Insecta; Hemiptera; Termitaphididae. The record is from RNAcentral.